GGAUGCGAUCAUACCAGCACUAAUACACCGGAUCCCAUCAGAACUCCGCAAUUAACCGUGCUUGGGUGAGAGUAAUACUAGGAUGGGUGACUUCCCGGGAAGUCCUCGUGUUUCAUCCC
Arabidopsis thaliana (thale cress) is the source of this 119-nucleotide ribosomal RNA. Lineage: Eukaryota; Viridiplantae; Streptophyta; Magnoliopsida; Brassicales; Brassicaceae. The record is from Rfam.